GGAGAAAGGGACAGAGAGAGAGAAGGAAAGAAAGAAAAUAGAGUGGAACUACAAAUGUUAAACCUUGAGUAUUAAGGAUCUGUUCUAUAACCAGUGUCACAAUGGCAAACUAACUCUCCAAAAUAGGGGGGAAACAUGUAAUAAAUCAGAAGAAAACUAUGAUUUCAAUCUAACCUUGAGUUUAUAAAUCUCAUUCAUUCUUUGCUUCCUUAUGCGUAGAAUGAGGAAUCCCUUGCAGGGAUAAAACCUUCAUUAUUUUAUGAAAUGAAAUGAGGUCUUUUAUGAUCAAGAUUUAAAUUAUGUUCAUUAACGGUUAUAGCUUUCUAGUUUCAUUGUCAGGGCGUGGGGACACAAAACAUCUGCCAUCUGCUUGCUAGUGGUUGCUGACUCGUAAAAUGGCAUUUUCCCUCUUCUCUUUACAUAAUCAUCACUGAGACUAGUUAAGUGAUUUGACUUUGCCUUUUUAACACCUAGUCUUGAGCCUACUGUGAGGAGUCAUCUAAUAAGUCAAAUAUCUGUAUAACUACUGUAAGCAUUUUUUAUAUCCAAAUUUUUUUUCCUCCAGG
This 566-nucleotide long non-coding RNA is filed under the name Homo sapiens (human). RNAcentral's name for it is "HSALNT0153639". Lineage: Eukaryota; Metazoa; Chordata; Mammalia; Primates; Hominidae. The record is from RNAcentral.